Molecule: ribosomal RNA, 433 nt
Filed under: uncultured bacterium
Lineage: Bacteria
Description: partial 16S ribosomal RNA
Rfam family: Bacterial small subunit ribosomal RNA
Source: RNAcentral
AGCGAACGCUGGCGGCAUGCCUAACACAUGCAAGUCGAACGAGACCUUCGGGUCUAGUGGCGCACGGGUGCGUAACGCGUGGGAACCUGCCCUUAGGUUCGGAAUAACUCCCCGAAAGGGGUGCUAAUACCGGAUAAUGUCUUCGGACCAAAGAUUUAUCGCCUUUGGAUGGGCCCGCGUUGGAUUAGCUAGUUGGUAGGGUAAAAGCCUACCAAGGCGACGAUCCAUAGCUGGUCUGAGAGGAUGAUCAGCCACACUGGGACUGAGACACGGUCCAGACUCCUACGGGAGGCAGCAGUGGGGAAUAUUGGACAAUGGGCGAAAGCCUGAUCCAGCAAUGCCGCGUGAGUGAUGAAGGCCUUAGGGUUGUAAAGCUCUUUUACCCGGGAUGAUAAUGACAGUACCGGGAGAAUAAGCUCCGGCUAACUCCGUG